RNAcentral lists this ribosomal RNA (253 nucleotides) under uncultured bacterium. RNAcentral's name for it is "partial 16S ribosomal RNA". It matches the Rfam family "Bacterial small subunit ribosomal RNA", at positions 524 to 776 of the family's 1533-position model. The record is from RNAcentral.
UACGUAGGGUCCGAGCGUUGUCCGGAGUUACUGGGCGUAAAGCGCGCGCAGGCGGCGACGCGCGCCCGGCGUGAAAGCCCCCGGCUCAACCGGGGAGGGUCGUCGGGGACAGCGUCGCUUGAGGACGGCAGGGGCUGGUGGAAUGCCCGGUGUAGUGGUGAAAUGCGUAGAGAUCGGGCAGAACACCCGUGGCGAAGGCGGCCAGCUGGGCCGGGCCUGACGCUGAGGCGCGAAGGCGUGGGGAGCGAACGGG